This is a long non-coding RNA of Limulus polyphemus (Atlantic horseshoe crab), 147 nucleotides long. RefSeq lists it as uncharacterized. NCBI's taxonomy places the organism in Eukaryota, Metazoa, Arthropoda, Merostomata, Xiphosura, Limulidae. The record is from RefSeq and is a predicted model, not a curated record. The transcript has 3 exons.
UGACCGUCUUAUAUGUACAAGAAUACCGAAUCUAGUAAGCUCUCGAGAAGUCAGGAAGGGAUGUGAACAUUCGAGAAGUGCAUGAUGAGUUACUAGCGUCACGUGACCUCCACUGUCGUAACAUUAUUAUAAAUUUGGGUAAUAACU